AAGAUUUUAAGUUAUCAUUAAACUAUUAACCUUCAAAGUUAAAAAUAAAAAAAUUUUUUAGAUCUUA
Molecule: transfer RNA, 67 nt
Filed under: Xya japonica
Lineage: Eukaryota; Metazoa; Arthropoda; Insecta; Orthoptera; Tridactylidae
Also listed under: 1 other name
Description: tRNA-Trp
Source: RNAcentral